UACGGAAGGGGCAAGCGUUGUUCGGAAUCAUUGGGCGUAAAGGGCGCGUAGGUGGUCUUGUAUGUCUACCGUGAAAGCGUACGGCUCAACCGUAUUUAGUCGGUAGAAACUGCAGGACUUGAGGCUGGGAGGGGCUGGUGGAAUUCCCUGUGUAGCGGUGAAAUGCGUAGAGAUGGGGGAGAACACUCGUGGCGAAGGCGGCCAGCUGGACCAGUUCUGACACUGAGGAGCGAAAGCGUGGGGAGCGAACAGG
RNAcentral lists this ribosomal RNA (253 nucleotides) under uncultured bacterium. Its description in RNAcentral is "partial 16S ribosomal RNA". It matches the Rfam family "Bacterial small subunit ribosomal RNA", at positions 524 to 776 of the family's 1533-position model. The record is from RNAcentral.